GAUCUGUGGAUGUUCAAGUCAAACACAUUUUUGCUGGAACAUAAGCCAACUUUGUGACAACUUGUCAGCAGUUAUUAACCAAAUUCUGCAAAGAAGAACUUUUCCUCAUCAAUGAGGCCACUUGGCUACCCUGAAGAAUCAUUCACAUAGGAAGAUGGCAUCUCAGUACCUGUGGACCAAACCAACAAGUAAAUUUUGAGACCCAGAACAUCUUCAAAUACAUGAAAGCAGGAAGCAGUCAGAGAGAAAGCAACGUCCACAACCCCAUAGAGG
Molecule: long non-coding RNA, 273 nt
Organism: Manis javanica (Malayan pangolin)
Lineage: Eukaryota; Metazoa; Chordata; Mammalia; Pholidota; Manidae
Source: RefSeq, a predicted model, not a curated record